AUGAACGCUGACAGAAUGCUUAACACAUGCAAGUCAACUUGAACUUCGGUUUGGGUGGCGGACGGGUGAGUAACGCGUAAAGAACUUGCCUCACAGAUAGGGACAACAUUUGGAAACGAAUGCUAAUACCUGAUAUUAUGAUUUUAGGGCAUCCUAGGAUUAUGAAAGCUAUAUGCGCUGUGAGAGAGCGUUGCGUCCCAUUAGCUAGUUGGAGAGGUAACGGCUCACCAAGGCGAUGAUGGGUAGCCGGCCUGAGAGGGUGAUCGGCCACAAGGGGACUGAGACACGGCCCUUACUCCUACGGGAGGCAGCAGUGGGGAAUAUUGGACAAUGGACCAAGAGUCUGAUCCAGCAAUUCUGUGUGCACGAUGAAGUUUUUCGGAAUGUAAAGUGCUUUCAGUUGGGAAGAAAAAAAUGACGGUACCAACAGAAGAAGUGACGGCUAAAUACGUG
RNAcentral lists this ribosomal RNA (453 nucleotides) under uncultured bacterium. Its description in RNAcentral is "partial 16S ribosomal RNA". It matches the Rfam family "Bacterial small subunit ribosomal RNA", at positions 29 to 507 of the family's 1533-position model. The record is from RNAcentral.